RNAcentral lists this ribosomal RNA (207 nucleotides) under uncultured bacterium. Its description in RNAcentral is "partial 16S ribosomal RNA". It matches the Rfam family "Bacterial small subunit ribosomal RNA", at positions 568 to 774 of the family's 1533-position model. The record is from RNAcentral.
CGUGUAGGCGGUUUGGCAAGUCGAGUGUGAAAUCCCACGGCUCAACCGUGGAACUGCGCUCGAAACUGCCUUACUUGAAUGCGGGAGAGGUGUGCGGAAUUCCUGGUGUAGCGGUGGAAUGCGUAGAUAUCAGGAAGAACACCGGUGGCGAAGGCGGCACACUGGCCCAGCACUGACGCUGAGGCGCGAAAGCGUGGGGAGCGAACG